Molecule: long non-coding RNA, 617 nt
Organism: Quercus robur (English oak)
Lineage: Eukaryota; Viridiplantae; Streptophyta; Magnoliopsida; Fagales; Fagaceae
Exons: 2
Source: RefSeq, a predicted model, not a curated record
UUCUAUGGUACCUCCACUUUUUUUUAGUGGGUACGGUACCCACCCAAAUCAUAACCAUUAAAUUUUUAAUGUUUUAAUCUUGACCGUUAAUUUAACUUUUGUGUGUACCAAUUACCGGUUUAGCAGGUCAGGUAUAAAAACAAAAAACAAAAAAAAAUCAAAUGUGUUCCUCUCUUGUGUUCAAAUUUUCUCAGAUUCGUUCUUGUGUUCAUCGAUCUCCUUUCAAUAUCCCGUCGAUUUACCCAUCAUUGAAGGUUUUUCAAAAAGAUCAAAAUCGUUUUGACUAUUAUUAAAGGCUGGGAGAAAAAUUGCAGAGAUGGCUGCAAAUAAAGCUGCCACUACUGCUAUAGUUGCUUUUGUCAAAAUUGUUUAUUAGAUACAGAUGGAUGAGAAAUUUUGCAAUACAAAUAGCUAAGAAAUUGGCUUUGUUUGAUAUUGUUAAUUUUACAAAUUUUAGUAUUUUAAAGAUGUCAACCCAGUGAGCAAAAGCUCAUUGGAUUUUGAGAGAGGGAGAAAGAGAUUAUGUUUAAGGUUUUGUCAAAGACAUUGUAACUUGUAUAUACACCAUUUACAUCAACGGAAGAUGAAUUUUGAAAGAUUAAAAUCUUUCUACCUUU